This is an RNA transcript of Carlito syrichta (Philippine tarsier), 1165 nucleotides long. It is a transcript of the gene named heterogeneous nuclear ribonucleoprotein A/B pseudogene, with no coding region annotated. The transcript has a single exon. The record is from RefSeq and is a predicted model, not a curated record. NCBI's taxonomy places the organism in Eukaryota, Metazoa, Chordata, Mammalia, Primates, Tarsiidae.
AUGUCAGACGCAGGCAAGGAGCAACCCAUGGAGAUGACGGGUGCCACUGAGAACAGGUAUGAGGCCGCCCUCGAGGGCGCAUCGGGCCAUGGGGCAGCUGGCCCAGGAGUGCGGCGCCUGUGAGCGGGAGCCAGAUGGUGCCAAGGGCGGCCAGAUCAAUGCCAGCAAGAACGAGGAGGACUCGGGGAAAAUGUUCGUUGGAGGCCUGAGGUGGGACACCAGCCAAAAGGACUUGAAAGCCUAUUUUACUAAGUUUGGAGAGGUCAUGGACUGCACGAUAAAGAUGGACCCCAACACCGGACGGUCGAGAGGGUUCGGGUUCACCCUGUUCAAAGAUGCAGCCUGUGUGGAGAAGAUCCUGGACCAGAAGGAGCAGAGGCUGGAUGGCCGUGUCAUUGACCCUAAGAAGGCUAUGGCUAUGAAGAAGGACCCGGUAAAGAAAGUCUUUGUUGGGGGUCUGAAUUCUGAAGCCACAGAGGAGAAGAUCAGGGAGUACUUUGGCAAGUUUGGGGAGAUUGAGGCCAUGGAGCUGCCAAUGGAUCCAAAGCUGAACAAAAGAUGAGGUUUUGUGUUUAUCACUUUUAAAGAGGAAGAACCUGUGAAGAAGGUUCUGGAGAAAAAGUUCCACAUGAUCCGUGGAAGCAAGUGUGAAAUCAAGGUGGCCCAGCCCAAAGAGGUCUAUCAGCCACAGCAGUAUGGUUCUGGGGUCCGUGGGAACUGCAUCUGAGGGAACCAAGGGCAGGGGCAAUGGCCGUGGAUGUCAGAGUCAGAGUUGGAAACAGGGAUACCGCAGCUACUGGAACCAGGGCUAUGGCUAUCAGCAGAGCUGGGGGCCAGCUAUGGUAGCUACCACUACUCACCCAAUGGCUAUGAUGGCUACGGCCCCAGCUACGACUACAGUCAAGACGGCAUAAACUGUGGCAAAAGCCAAUGGUGUAGGGGCCACCAGAACAACUACAAGCCAUACUGAGGCAGCGAGGAGUGACCAGCAGCUGUGCAUGUGCUUUGUCUGGGUAUAGAGUGAACACAAACAAUUAUGUACCAAAUUUAACUUGGUAAACUCUCUACAGCCUGUCCCAUGUGCACCUUAUUUAAAAUUCUCCCCCUGGAAAUCACUCUCCUGUUUACUCUUUCCAGAGCUCUAGUUGCUUAGGCAGUGUGUGGU